UCCGGGAGCUGACUGACGGAGGAUCAUUGUCGAUGCCUUACAUGGAGAGAUCAACCUGUGAACCUGUUUGAAUACGUAGGGAUGGCUCGUGGAGUUUUCAACUCCUUGACCUCCCUUGAGCUGGUAGGGGGUGCCACGUUGUGCGCUCCCCUCCCAGCCAAAAAACCCAAACCCCGGCACUGAAUGUGCCAAGGAACUAAAAUUGGUUCAGUGCGCCCCCGUAGGCACCGUAGACGGUGCUAAUAGCGGGAGGUGUUUUGACGCAUGAUAUAUAAACGACUCUCGGCAACGGAUAUCUAGGCUCUUGCAUCGAUGAAGAACGUAGCGAAAUGCGAUACUUGGUGUGAAUUGCAGAAUCCCGUGAACCAUCGAGUUUUUGAACGCAAGUUGCGCCCGAAGCCAUUAGGUUGAGGGCACGUCUGCCUGGGCGUCACAUAUCGUUGCCCUAUGCCCAAUGCCUAUAGGUAGGCACUGUGCAGGGCGAAUGUUGGCUUCCCGUGAGCAUUGUCGUCUCAUGGUUGGCUGAAAACUGAGUCCUUGGUAGGGUGUGUGCCAUGAUAGAUGGUGGUUGUGUGAUCCACGCGAGACCGAUCAUGUGCGGCGCUACCAGAUUAGGCCUCUUUGACCCCACUUGAGUCCUUGAACGCUCAUGACGAGACCU
Molecule: ribosomal RNA, 661 nt
Filed under: Eversmannia subspinosa
Lineage: Eukaryota; Viridiplantae; Streptophyta; Magnoliopsida; Fabales; Fabaceae
Description: eukaryotic LSU rRNA
Rfam family: 5.8S ribosomal RNA (bases 278-433)
Source: RNAcentral